AUGGCCUAUGCUAGCUUUUUCUUACCCUGUUCCAGUCUGCUGGAAGUGUCUCUGCUGCCUCCCCAAGAUGCUGGAAGGUCACCUCCAUCGAUGCUCUCUCCGCCGCUUCCGCAAGCCGCCAGACUGUACAGUUCUGCAAGGAAAAAGAAUGGAAAAGGAAUAGAAGAAGACAAUGCUGAAGCACAAGAGCAAGAGAGGCUAGCUAUACUUAAAGCAAGGAAUAGUGAUGAUUUUGAACGAUUUGGGUCCUUUACAUUCUCAAAUCUAAAAGAAGAUUUUGGAGGACGAGCCAGUCAGCGACAAAAUAAAAGAAAGAAGGUGAUCUCUUUGGUUACUGCAUCUAUUGUACAAUUGCAUUGCAUCUAUCAUAAAACUUCAUCUUGUUACAUGCUUUGCACAUCUCACUUUGUCAUGCACAUUAAUUCAUGCUUUGCAGAGUUCACUUUGUCAUGCAUAUUAAUUCAUGCCUUUUGCAGUUCACUUUGUCAUGCACAUAUUAGGUGCAUGUUGAUGUUAAGUUUGCACAUCAUCUUGUUGCUUAUUUGUAGAGCAAUGUAG
This 558-nucleotide ribosomal RNA is filed under the name Triticum aestivum (bread wheat). Its description in RNAcentral is "partial small subunit ribosomal RNA". The record is from RNAcentral. Lineage: Eukaryota; Viridiplantae; Streptophyta; Magnoliopsida; Poales; Poaceae.